This 402-nucleotide ribosomal RNA is filed under the name uncultured bacterium. RNAcentral's name for it is "bacterial SSU rRNA". It matches the Rfam family "Bacterial small subunit ribosomal RNA", at positions 355 to 774 of the family's 1533-position model. The record is from RNAcentral.
UGGGGAAUCUUGCACAAUGGGGGCAACCCUGAUGCAGCGACGCCGCGUGAGCGAUGAAGCCCUUCGGGGCGUAAAGCUCUUUCGACCGGAACGAUAAUGACGGUACCGGGAGAAGAAGCUGCGGCUAACUACGUGCCAGCAGCCGCGGUAAUACGUAGAGUGCGAGCGUUAAUCGGAAUUACUGGGCGUAAAGCGUGCGCAGGCGGUUUUGUAAGACAGAUGUGGAAUCCCCGGGCUUAACCUGGGAACUGCGUUUGUGACUGCAAGGCUGGAGUACGGCAGAGGGGGGUGGAAUUCCACGUGUAGCAGUGAAAUGCGUAGAGAUGUGGAGGAACACCGAUGGCGAAGGCAGCCCCCUGGGCCUGUACUGACGCUCAUGCACGAAAGCGUGGGGAGCAAACA